This 952-nucleotide long non-coding RNA is filed under the name Olea europaea subsp. europaea. Lineage: Eukaryota; Viridiplantae; Streptophyta; Magnoliopsida; Lamiales; Oleaceae. The record is from RNAcentral.
CUUGGAAGAUAAAUAAUGCCUUGGAAUUCAAAUUGGGCUUUGAGUGCACUUGGACCAUCUGUCGACUGAAGGAAGUGGAAAUAAAAGGGAGCAUUGGGCCUUAGUUUGGAUCUUAUUUGGAAUAAAAUUCAAUAAAGACUUGGACUCCUAAUUUGUCUACAACACCAGGGCUUUACUGUUUAUGUAUAUAUACACAUACAUGCACCGAAGAUUGAGGAGGCCGAAAAUUGAAGCUGUGGAAUUAAUAAAAUCGGCCAGCUAUUGGGAGAAAUUGGGGGCUGCAAAGUUGACCUCAACAGGUAUAUAAUUCCCACAGAAGCCGAGGCCGGGGGGCUGGAGAAAAAAUAAUAUAUAGACAGGUAAAAAACCGAUAGAUUUUGAAGAGGCUGCUUGGGGAACAUUGGCUGAAUUGGAAUCUUAUUUACAGAAAAAGGAAGCAGCUGAAUUGAAUCAUAUAUAUACACACAAAAAACAUAUUAAAAGGCUAUUGUUGCUGGAACAAAUACAUAGGCGGCUGCUGUUGAAUGCAUAUCCACAGACACACGAGUUGCAACAGGAAUUAAGAGACAUAUAUUCAUGCAGAAGGUGGCUGGACACAUAUACAUACACGCAAUUGAAGGCCAGAAUUUGAAGAUAAGAGGCAGCCAAGGAAUACGUAUAAAUACACGUUGAAGCAAAAGCGGAUGGAAGAAAUUUGGAUAUUAAUCACGUUUGCUCUGUUUGUGGUAAUAUCUUCUAUCUUUUCUUUGUGUAAUUCCGUCGUCAUGCUAGGCUAGAUGUUUUGUGCUAGGAUUUGCGAUGAAUCUUAUAUUAUGAACUUAUAAUCUUGAAUUUUAUUUAUUUUGACGUUAAAACACAUUUUUAAUUAUUAUACGAUUGACAUGGAUUUUAUUUUCUCUACAAUUAUACGUGCAAUAGUUGUAUGAGAUUUGUGUCUUGUUUUACCCUCGAG